AAAACACCCGGAAAACACCCGGAAAUACACCCAGAAACACCCCGGAAACACCCGGAAAUACACCCAGAAAUACACCCAGAAACAGCCCGAAAACACCCGGAAAUACACCCAGAAACAGCCCGGAAACACCCGGAAAUACACCCAGAAACACCCCGGAAACACCCGGAAAUACACCCAGAAACAGCCCGGAAACACCCGGAAAUACACCCAGAAACAACCCAAAACACCCGGAAAUACACCCGGAAACAGCCCGAAAACACCCGGAAAUACACCCAGAAAUACCCAAAAAUACCCCAAAAUUGCUGGUCUGUACUGGGAGCCGUUACUGGUCUGUACUGGGAGCUGUUACUGGUCUGUACUGGGAGCCGUUACUGGUCUGUACUGGGAGCUGUUACUGGUCUGUACUGGUCUGUACUGGGAGCUGUUACUGGUCUGUACUGGUCUGUACUGGGAGCUGUUACUGGUCUAUACUGGUCUGUACUGGUGUCAAUAAAGGUGUCAAUGGAGCAGUGGCUGUGUGGGGGAAGGGUACUGGGACAUACUGGGGCAUACUGGGACAUACUGGGACAUACUGGGGUGUACUGGGGCAUACUGGGACAUACUGGGGUGUACUGGGACAUACUGGGACAUACUGGGGUGUACUGGGACAUACUGGGACAUACUGGGACAUACUGGGGCAUACUGGGACAUACUGGGACAUACUGGGGUGUACUGGGACAUACUGGGACAUACUGG
Molecule: long non-coding RNA, 735 nt
Filed under: Cyanistes caeruleus (blue tit)
Lineage: Eukaryota; Metazoa; Chordata; Aves; Passeriformes; Paridae
Description: lncRNA (ENSCCEG00000003329.1)
Source: RNAcentral